This 51-nucleotide transfer RNA is filed under the name Strongyloides stercoralis. RNAcentral's name for it is "tRNA-Ser". Lineage: Eukaryota; Metazoa; Nematoda; Chromadorea; Rhabditida; Strongyloididae. The record is from RNAcentral.
AAACUGUUUUUAUUUUGAUUUGAAAUCAAAAUUUGGAUUUUCCGCAGUUUU